UCCGGCUGUCACAUUCGUGGCGUACCGAAUGCUCGUCUCUCGUGGCGGCGACGGCGGCGGCAUAACGCGUUAAUGAAAAUGGCAACGCGUCGCGACGCCAUGUGGCAGCCUCGACGGGAUACAUACGGCCGCAAAUUGCGCUGCUUUAUCAAUCUGAAAUAACAUCGGCGCGGAACAAUUAGCGACGACGCGAAACUUACGGGGACUUCACCGACCAGCGGAAGGAUCAUGUUACGGUAGACGGAUGUCUGAGAAAGAUAGCGUGUUCAAGAGAAUACAGAAAAUUUAUCUUGAUAAGCAAUAUAUAUUUUCAAGCAGAGGAUAGCGAAGGCAUUAAUUCACAAAGCAAAUGACAUUGCACAUGCAGCAAUUUAGAAAUACACAAGAACCUUCAAAAUAUAUUACAGUCCAAUGAAAAAGAUUUCUAAAAAAAAAAGA
This is a long non-coding RNA of Cyphomyrmex costatus, 438 nucleotides long. RefSeq lists it as uncharacterized. The record is from RefSeq and is a predicted model, not a curated record. The transcript has 3 exons. NCBI's taxonomy places the organism in Eukaryota, Metazoa, Arthropoda, Insecta, Hymenoptera, Formicidae.